GCCCUGCCCAAACUAAGGUGUGAGGCAUCGUGCUGAGAGUUGAGUGGCACUGGGGCAGUAAAAAAUGCAGUGUCGUUAAUGAUCCCUUCAGGGCAUCUGGUGAAACCCUGUCAUAUGUAGCCUUCUGCCUGGAUUGGGGAAUAGCCAGGCGGUGACUGUUUUUCCCCCAGUCUAUCAUUAUUUAUGGAUGAUUUAAAACUUUCUUUAAAUACAACUCUUUCUGGGGAGCGCUUCUCCGUCUCUUCAUGGGGUGGUGAUCUCAGGGCCUCUUUAGAGGGUACUGAGUCAAUUGGUUUGCCUCAGGGUGAUGGGGUUGUGGAGUGUUCUCCUGUUGUUGGUGUUUCCUCCGGGAGUAUACCUGGUCCGCGAAAGGCACGUUUGUCUGG
This 386-nucleotide long non-coding RNA is filed under the name Androctonus crassicauda. The record is from RNAcentral. Lineage: Eukaryota; Metazoa; Arthropoda; Arachnida; Scorpiones; Buthidae.